GACGAACGCUGGCGGCGUGCUUAACACAUGCAAGUCGAGCGGUCAGGCCUCUUCGGGGGUCCACGAGCGGUGAACGGGUGCGUAACACGUGGGUGACCUGCCCUCAGCUCUGGGAUAAGCCUGGGUAACUGGGACUAAUACCGGUAACGACCUUUCUUUGCAUGGGGUUUGGUGGAUAGUUUUUUCGGCUGGGGAUGGGCCUGCUGCCUAUCAGCUCGUUGAUUUGGCGAUGGCCUACCAAGGCGGCGACCGGUAGCCGGGCUGCGAGGGCGACCGGCCACCCUGGAAGUGAGACACGGGUCGGGAAUCUUCGGGAGGGAGCAGAGGGGAAUCUUACGAAAUCGGCGGAAGCCUGGAGCAGCGACGGAGCGUGAGGGAUGGCGGCCAUGGAGUUGUAAACCUCUUUGGACCCCGGCGAAUUUGGACGGUAGCGGUAGAAGAAGCACCGGCCAACUACGUG
This 460-nucleotide ribosomal RNA is filed under the name uncultured bacterium. Its description in RNAcentral is "partial 16S ribosomal RNA". It matches the Rfam family "Bacterial small subunit ribosomal RNA", at positions 28 to 507 of the family's 1533-position model. The record is from RNAcentral.